AUGGAGGCCAAGGCCGCCGCCGUGUCCCUGUCGGCGCCGCUGCCCUGGUGCCGCGUCGGCGGUAGCAACGGCCCGCUCGCGUGCUCUGCCUCUGCGCGGAGAUCGCGCAGGUGCGGGUACCACCAUGGCGCGCCCCUCAGAUCACUCGCUCGCCCCUCCUCCUCUGCCCGCUCCUUCCCCGCCGGCCGCGUCUACGCUAUGGCCGCGGCCGCAACGGCGCCGGUGAAGGAGCAGGACCUCGUCUUCGUCGCCGGUGCCACGGGAAAGGUCGGCUCCCGGACCGUAAGGGAGCUCAUCAAGCUGGGCUUCCGCGUCCGCGCCGCCGUCCGGAGCAAGGAGAGAGCGUCGCCCCUCGUGCAGAGCGUGGAGCGGCUGGAGCUCGGCGAAGGGAGCGCCCCGGCCUCGAGGCUGGAGCUGGUCGAGUGCGACCUGGAGAAGCAGGGCGAGGCGGGCAUCAAGGCGGCCAUCGGCGACGCGGCGCUCGUGGUGUGCUCCAUCGGCGCCAGCGAGAAGGAGAUCCUCGACGUCACGGGCCCCUACCGCAUCGACUACGUGGCCACCGCCAACCUCGUGCGCGCCGCGGCCAAGGCCGGCGUCGAGCACUUCGUCCUCGUCACCUCCCUCGGCACCACCAGAUUCGGGUUCCCGGCCGCCCUCCUGAACUUGUUCUGGGGUGUACUGUGCUGGAAGAAGAUGGCGGAGGAGGCGCUGGUGGCCAGCGGCGUCCCGUACACGAUCGUGCGGCCGGGAGGCAUGGAGAGGCCGACGGACGCGUACAAGGAGACGCACAACCUGGUGGUGUCGCCGCGGGACACGUACGUCGGCGGCCUGGUGUCCAACCUGCAGGUCGCGGAGCUGAUCGCGUGCGUGGCCAAGAACAGGAGGGCGGCCUACUGCAAGGUGGUGGAGCUCGUGGCCGAGACCACCGCGCCGCUGCUGCCCAUGGAGGACCUCCUCGCCAGGGUCCCCUCCGACCCCGGCAGGGCACCGCCCCCUGCUCCCGCGGCUCCGGCCGUCGUUGCCGAGGCGCCGAAGGAGUCGCCUCCAGCAGCUGCGGCGGCACCAACACCAGCUGCAGUACCUCCAGCACCGGCACCGGCACCGGCAGCGUCGGUGGCACCCCCAGCAGCUGCAGCACCUCCAGCAGCGGCACCACCACCAGCUGCAGCACCUCCAGCACCGGCACCAGUUGCAGCAGCAAAAGCAGAGCGGCCGCUCUCGCCAUACGCGGCGUACGAAGAUUUGAAGCCGCCAUCGUCCCCAACACCCAGCUUUAGCAGCGGCACCACCGGUCAGGCGGUGAAGGAGUCGCCUCCUGCACCGGCACCGGCACCAGCUGCUCCGGCUCCUCCUCCUCCGGCUGCUCCUGCUGCUUCUGCAAAGCCACGGCCGCUCUCACCUUACGCGGCGUACGAGGGGCUGAAGCCACCGUCUUCCCCGACACCCAGCAGGAGCAGCAGCAAGAAAAACGAUGACGGCGAUUCUCCAUCGCCGCCGCCCACUGCCGCCUCUCCGGAGGCAGCAACCAGCACCACUGCCGAGGCGGCGGCAGCCGAGCCCUCCUCGCCGCUGUUGGAUUCCAACGCCAACGGCGCUCCCGCCACCGCCGCCCCCACUGCUGAUCCAGGGCGCCCACUUUCACCAUACGCGAGGUACGAAGACCUGAAACCUCCAACCACGCCCACUCCAUCCGCCCCCAAAGUAUAG
This 1707-nucleotide ribosomal RNA is filed under the name Triticum aestivum (bread wheat). RNAcentral's name for it is "partial small subunit ribosomal RNA". The record is from RNAcentral. Lineage: Eukaryota; Viridiplantae; Streptophyta; Magnoliopsida; Poales; Poaceae.